Molecule: long non-coding RNA, 347 nt
Filed under: Brassica napus (rape)
Lineage: Eukaryota; Viridiplantae; Streptophyta; Magnoliopsida; Brassicales; Brassicaceae
Description: long non-coding RNA (BNAP_LNC011323)
Source: RNAcentral
UGGGCCGAACUCGAGUAUUGAAACGACGCUUCUUGUUGCCUGUCGCGUUGAGGGCUUGGUUCUGGUCUCGGAGGACAGUGUUCUCCGAAUGAAGCUGGUUUAGCUUCUCGGCGCUUUGCUCCAGCUGUUUGGAGUGCUCAUCAAGUUUCUCCUUCAGACUCUGAACUUCUGAAGAGAGGUCGGGGUUUUCUUCGGUAGUCUCCUGAGCUCGGUGCAUGUCGGUUGAUUUGGCUUUGCAAGCCGUCUACUCGCUUCUUAAGCUGAGCUGUUGUUUGAGCGGCUUCAGUUGGUUCGUCCUGCUCAUCCAUCGCCAUCAUCACGUAGUUAGAUUACUCCCCUCCUUCUAG